AGCAAGUAAAGAGCCCAUCCGUUUCGAAAGGAUGGUAUUGUAUUCGUAUUUCAACUUUGUGAUCUUCUUAAGGACUAUAUUCAAGGAAUUCGUCCUAAAAACAUUCUCCUGUUACCCUAACUCUCUUUCAAUUUGCGUUUCGUCCUCUCUGAUGUAUAAGAAAUAAUGUAACCUCUAAUCACAGCCUUUAGAGGUUCCCAAAGGGUGGAGUCGUCAACAUCCCCCAUGUCAUUAGCGCCGAGGAAAAAGUCAAUCUGCUCCUUCAAAUACUGACAAAAAGCCUCAUCUUUCAACAAAUCGCCACGACCACCUCGAGGACACGCUACUGCCCAAUCACCACUGGGCCCAGUGGGUUGGCAUGCCAACCAACACCAUAAGUCUUUGUGUUACUGUUUGUGUCUGGUCAUCUGAUUCUACAACAGAGCUUGAUGCAAUUUAAAAUCCAAUUUGAUACAUUCAUAUGUACAAGAUUGGCAUAAACCCCUGUUAUAUUCUCAUUACCCCGGUUGUUGCUUUCGGGAUAGGAAUGAAAUGACAUCAACUACAUUGAGAUUGUAUUGCUUGUGUUUUGAUUAUCUACAUUAAAUAAGUGUGAAAGUAAAAACAGCUUGCGUAAAUUAAACAUGCUGAUGUCAAAAUAAAAGAUGUUGUUUGCGUCUCAAAUGGCAUCCUAUUUCCUAUAUAGUGCACUACCAUUGACUAGAGCCCGACUGGGAAUAGGGUGCCAUUUGGGACACUACUAUUGAGUCAUACAGUCUGUAUUGAUCAGGGCAAUCUGUCGCAUUCGACCGGAUUACAUUUGCCAUUUGAUUCCUUUUCAAUUAUCUCUGCUUUUCAUCACUCUUUCUCUCUCUCUCUCUCUCUGUCUCUGUGUGUGUGUGUGUCUGUUACAACAGGGAAAAGUAAGGGUAAAACCUUAAACAUCAAUUCCAACCUAGAUGCUGAUAGAUGACUGCAAUAAAUGACACACACACGACACCUUAUAGCUCUGGGAAUUGUUUUUGUUCGACCUGUUUGACUUUGACUCUUCAUCCAUGAUUCUGCCCACUGUGUGUCUCAGUGUGGCUAUCCUUGUGCGGAUGGCAAGUUAACUUUGUUCCAAUUACUGAUGAAUACGGGUUGGAGAGAAUCCUAUUUGUUGCACUUAUGAUUCAGAGAGGCUCACUGCACAGAGUCCAUUAGUAGUGACUGGAUUGCUUUAGUUGAUAUCAUACCACAUGGAUUCAAUCACACAUCAUCUUUUGAGGCUGAGAUAAAGUGAAGUACAGAGAUGAAGCAUAACUCUUCAGUCGAUCUGUCCAGAGUUUGGCUGUGUUUGCGUACUAAUGUGAUUUUUCUUAUAUGGCUAGACCUCCAGGCAAGUGUCUGAUGGGAGCUGUCUGGCCCAAAAGGCUGGCCUAGAAAUGCCAUGUAUUCAACUCCAACUACCUCAAAUUGAUUCUGGAUGACACAAAAGCAGCACACAACUGGCGAGAGAGGAAAUGACUUUGCGUUAUCGGCAAACUGAAUGGAUGUUUUGAUGGGAUCAGUUCCAUAUCUCACACUUGUAUUGUUAUCCACAUGAAACUGACAUUACCCUUGUUAUUUGGGGACUGCUGUUUAUAUUACCAGUACCAGUGGGCAACACAGUAUCCUG
Molecule: long non-coding RNA, 1636 nt
Organism: Oncorhynchus tshawytscha (Chinook salmon)
Lineage: Eukaryota; Metazoa; Chordata; Actinopteri; Salmoniformes; Salmonidae
Source: Ensembl